RNAcentral lists this ribosomal RNA (776 nucleotides) under uncultured Neocallimastigales. Its description in RNAcentral is "partial large subunit ribosomal RNA". It matches the Rfam family "Eukaryotic large subunit ribosomal RNA", at positions 23 to 623 of the family's 3401-position model. The record is from RNAcentral. Lineage: Eukaryota; Fungi; Neocallimastigomycota; Neocallimastigomycetes; Neocallimastigales.
GAGACUCUGUGCGCGUGCAUAUCAAUAAGCGGAGGAAAAGAAACUAACAAGGAUUCCCCUAGUAACGGGCGAGUGAAGCGGGAAGAGCUCAAAUUUGAAAUCUUAAAGGGUUUCCCUUUACGAAUUGUAGUUUAAAGAAGUGUUUUCUGUUGGAGUUUCGGUAAAAGUUCUUUGGAAUAGGACAUCAUAGAGGGUGAGAAUCCCGUAUUUGACCGUUACUUUCCAGCUGUGUGAUACACUUUCAAAGAGUCGGAUUGUUUGGGAAUGCAGUCCAAAAUGGGUGGUAAAUUUCAUCUAAAGCUAAAUAUUGGCGAGAGACCGAUAGCGAACAAGUACCGUGAGGGAAAGAUGAAAAGAACUUUGAAAAGAGAGUUAAACAGUACGUGAAAUUGUCAAAAGGGAAGCGUUUGACACCAGUGUUGUUUUCUCGAAAAUCAAUUAAAAAUGGCCGGAUUUUGUGUUGUAUUGACUUUAUCAGCUUUCUGCACUUUUUUCUUGUCUUUUUUAAUGCACUUUUCGUUUAACAAGUCAACAUCAAUUUCUUUUGUUGUAAAAGGGUAAGAGGAAGGUGGCUUGCGCUUCGGCGUAAGUGUUUAUAGCCUUUUACCUCUGCAAUCGGAGAGAUUGAGGACAGCAGCGUAGACUCUUCGGGGUUAGAUACACUUGUGCUAAGCUAUAGCCUUGUAUAGACAACUUGUUGACUAUGCUCAGUCAUGUAGCUUACUCGCUUGUGCUAUUUUACCUACGCUUAGGAUGUUGAACUCUAUCACACACAG